Molecule: long non-coding RNA, 506 nt
Organism: Photinus pyralis (common eastern firefly)
Lineage: Eukaryota; Metazoa; Arthropoda; Insecta; Coleoptera; Lampyridae
Exons: 3
Source: RefSeq, a predicted model, not a curated record
GUUGCUAUAAAUAAGGCUUGUCUCACAGUGGAAGCGUUUACGCGCGAACUGAAAUACGCAUGUUAACGUCAGAAAUUGUACGUCCGUAUACGCACAAAUCGCAUUCGCACAUUAGCUGCGUAUCCAUCAUGAGCUGAGCAACUGUUCACAAGCACAAUUGUCUACAACCUGCGAAUUCGCAUAAAAAUCCGAACAAAAUGGGAUCGGUUCGCAAGUCGCAAUUAAACGCACGUAUACGGACGAUUUAUCAAUCGCUAAUGUGCGAAGGUCCAUUUGAAAUCGUACGUUUGAAUAGUUCGUCCAUAAACGUACGUAUUCGUACGAAUCCCAGUUCGCGCGUAAACGCUUCCACUGUGAGACAAGCCUUAUCCUGAACAUGUGUGAUUAGCUUAGCUCAUCAGAACACACGUCAUGUUCUCACCUUCCUGGAGACAAACGAGAUCGACGUCAAUGGCGACUUAAAAUCAGACAUGUAUGAUGCAUGCAUUAAUGGAAAAAUGCACCGU